This 790-nucleotide ribosomal RNA is filed under the name Bacillus sp. (in: firmicutes). RNAcentral describes it as "bacterial SSU rRNA". It matches the Rfam family "Bacterial small subunit ribosomal RNA", at positions 72 to 848 of the family's 1533-position model. Lineage: Bacteria; Bacillati; Bacillota; Bacilli; Caryophanales; Bacillaceae. The record is from RNAcentral.
AUGGUAGCUUGCUCCUGAUGUUAGCGGCGGACGGGUGAGUAACACGUGGGUAACCUGCCUGUAAGACUGGGAUAACUCCGGGAAACCGGGGCUAAUACCGGAUGCUUGUUUGAACCGCAUGGUUCAAACAUAAAAGGUGGCUUCGGCUACCACUUACAGAUGGACCCGCGGCGCAUUAGCUAGUUGGUGAGGUAAUGGCUCACCAAGGCGACGAUGCGUAGCCGACCUGAGAGGGUGAUCGGCCACACUGGGACUGAGACACGGCCCAGACUCCUACGGGAGGCAGCAGUAGGGAAUCUUCCGCAAUGGACGAAAGUCUGACGGAGCAACGCCGCGUGAGUGAUGAAGGUUUUCGGAUCGUAAAGCUCUGUUGUUAGGGAAGAACAAGUACCGUUCGAAUAGGGCGGUACCUUGACGGUACCUAACCAGAAAGCCACGGCUAACUACGUGCCAGCAGCCGCGGUAAUACGUAGGUGGCAAGCGUUGUCCGGAAUUAUUGGGCGUAAAGGGCUCGCAGGCGGUUUCUUAAGUCUGAUGUGAAAGCCCCCGGCUCAACCGGGGAGGGUCAUUGGAAACUGGGGAACUUGAGUGCAAAAGAGGAGAGUGGAAUUCCACGUGUAGCGGUGAAAUGCGUAGAGAUGUGGAGGAACACCAGUGGCGAAAGCGACUCUCUGGUCUGUAACUGACGCUGAGGAGCGAAAGCGUGGGGAGCGCACAUGAUUAUAUACACUGGUAGUCCCGCCGUAGACGAUGACUGCAAAGUGUGAGGGGCUUCCGCCCCCUAGUGCUG